Non-coding RNA from Infundibulicybe gibba, 86 nucleotides. NCBI's taxonomy places the organism in Eukaryota, Fungi, Basidiomycota, Agaricomycetes, Agaricales, Omphalinaceae. The record is from the annotation of a GenBank genome assembly.
GCCGUCGUGGCGCAAUGGUUAGCGCGUCGCUUUCCUAUGGAAAGGACAUCAGGCGAAGGUUGAGGGUUCGACUCCCUCCGUCGGUA